This 274-nucleotide ribosomal RNA is filed under the name uncultured bacterium. RNAcentral describes it as "partial 16S ribosomal RNA". It matches the Rfam family "Bacterial small subunit ribosomal RNA", at positions 523 to 796 of the family's 1533-position model. The record is from RNAcentral.
AUACGGAGGGGGCUAGCGUUGUUCGGAAUUACUGGGCGUAAAGCGCACGUAGGCGGAUUGGAAAGUUGGGGGUGAAAUCCCCGGGCUCAACCCUGGAACUGCCUCCAAAACUAACAGUCUAGAGUUCGAGAGAGGUGAGUGGAAUUCCAAGUGUAGAGGUGAAAUUCGUAGAUAUUUGGAGGAACACCAGUGGCGAAGGCGGCUCACUGGCUCGAUACUGACGCUGAGGUGCGAAAGCGUGGGGAGCAAACAGGAUUAGAAACCCCAGUAGUCC